Molecule: ribosomal RNA, 497 nt
Filed under: uncultured bacterium
Lineage: Bacteria
Description: partial 16S ribosomal RNA
Rfam family: Bacterial small subunit ribosomal RNA
Source: RNAcentral
GAUGAACGCUGGCGGCGUGCCUAAUACAUGCAAGUCGAGCGAACAGACGAGGAGCUUGCUCCUCUGACGUUAGCGGCGGACGGGUGAGUAACACGUGGAUAACCUACCUAUAAGACUGGGAUAACUUCGGGAAACCGGAGCUAAUACCGGAUAAUAUAUUGAACCGCAUGGUUCAAUAGUGAAAGACGGUUUUGCUGUCACUUAUAGAUGGAUCCGCGCCGCAUUAGCUAGUUGGUAAGGUAACGGCUUACCAAGGCAACGAUGCGUAGCCGACCUGAGAGGGUGAUCGGCCACACUGGAACUGAGACACGGUCCAGACUCCUACGGGAGGCAUCAGUAGGGAAUCUUCCGCAAUGGGCGAAAGCUUGACGGAGCAACGCCGCGUGAGUGAUGAAGGUCUUCGGAUCGUAAAACUCUGUUAUUAGGGAAGAACAAAUGUGUAAGUAACUAUGCACGUCUUGACGGUACCUAAUCAGAAAGCUACGGCUAACUACGUG